UGGGGAAUAUUGCACAAUGGGCGAAAGCCUGAUGCAGCAACGCCGCGUGAGUGAUGAAGGCCUUCGGGUUGUAAAGCUCUGUCUUUUGGGACGAUGAUGACGGUACCAAAGGAGGAAGCCACGGCUAACUACGUGCCAGCAGCCGCGGUAAUACGUAGGUGGCAAGCGUUGUCCGGAUUUACUGGGCGUAAAGGAUGCGUAGGCGGAUUUUUAAGUGAGAUGUGAAAUACCCGGGCUUAACUUGGGUGCUGCAUUUCAAACUGGGAAUCUAGAGUGCGGGAGAGGAGAAUGGAAUUCCUAGUGUAGCGGUGAAAUGCGUAGAGAUUAGGAAGAACACCAGUGGCGAAGGCGAUUCUCUGGACCGUAACUGACGCUGAGGCAUGAAAGCGUGGGUAGCAAACAGGAUUAGAUACCCUGGUAGUCCACGCCGUAAACGAUGAGUACUAGGUGUAGGAGGUAUCGACCCCUUCUGUGCCGCAGUUAACACAAUAAGUACUCCGCCUGGGAAGUACGAUCGCAAGAUUAAAACUCAAAGGAAUUGACGGGGUCAUAGCUG
Molecule: ribosomal RNA, 556 nt
Filed under: uncultured bacterium
Lineage: Bacteria
Description: partial 16S ribosomal RNA
Rfam family: Bacterial small subunit ribosomal RNA
Source: RNAcentral